RNAcentral lists this ribosomal RNA (484 nucleotides) under uncultured bacterium. RNAcentral's name for it is "partial 16S ribosomal RNA". It matches the Rfam family "Bacterial small subunit ribosomal RNA", at positions 30 to 507 of the family's 1533-position model. The record is from RNAcentral.
AUUGAACGCUGGCGGCAGGCCUAACACAUGCAAGUCGAGCGGAUGAAGGGAGCUUGCUCCUGGAUUCAGCGGCGGACGGGUGAGUAAUGCCUAGGAAUCUGCCUGGUAGUGGGGGAUAACGUCCGGAAACGGGCGCUAAUACCGCAUACGUCCUGAGGGAGAAAGUGGGGGAUCUUCGGACCUCACGCUAUCAGAUGAUCCUAGGUCGGAUUAGCUAGUUGGUGGGGUAAAGGCCUACCAAGGCGACGAUCCGUAACUGGUCUGAGAGGAUGAUCAGUCACACUGGAACUGAGACACGGUCCAGACUCCUACGGGAGGCAGCAGUGGGGAAUAUUGGAAGAUGGGCGAAAGCCUGAUCAAGCCAUGCCGCGUGUGUGAAGAAGGGCUGCGGAUUGUAAAGCACUUUAAGUUGGGAGGAAGGGCAGUAAGUUAAUACCUUGCUGUUUUGACGUUACCAACAGAAUAAGCACCGGCUAACUUCGUG